GAUUAUUUGGUACCCUAAACAGAAUAAGAAAAGUGUGUACAUCAGAAAGUGGGUUGAAGCAGGAUUCUACUUUCUGCAGUACUAAUCAUGGUAUUGUCACUGUUGUGAGCCAAACACCCACUAAAAUGGAGAAUGCGGGAAACCGAUCGAUCCACAAAGCUGAUGAUGAGGUCUAUUCUAUCCUUCAGAGCUCCCGAGUUUGAUUUCAACCAUACGUCUAUCAAUUAUGAACGUACAAAAGGUAGCUAAAGCUGAUGAUCGAUUGAAAUGAAGGAUGCAUGUAAUAAGUUCAUAGUUGAUGAGCAAAUAGCACAAUGGUAGUCAUUGUCCAGGUGGAGCCGACAGAACACAAACAUGUCCACUACCAUUCUCAGUUCAGUUCUUUCAUAGGAUGUGCCGUAUCCAAACGCAGAAUUAGAAUUGGAGACUCUUCAUCUCAACUACUCUUAAUGGUCCCAAAUUGACAUGCAUCUCCCAUGUGAUCAUCAUCAUCUCUCUCUCUCUCNNNNNNNNNNNNNNNNNNNNCUCUCUCUCUCUCUCUCUCUCUCCAUUAUCGAUCAUUCUAAUUCAAAUAUUCUUUUGUAUGGAAGUUUAGUGAUCAGGAGUAUUUAUUUUUCUAGUAAAAUUCAAGUUUAAUACAUGUAUAUUUUUUAGUUAUCUCUCUGAAAUAAGAAACACCCAAUUGUUCAUUCUUUUUCAUUUAUUUAUCUCGAGGCAUCUUUCAACAAUGGCGGUUCCCUAGCUAAUUGGGCGAUAGAAUUGAAGAAAUGAAGACGCAUGCAUUUUGUUUUUUGCAAUAUUACAAAUUAUCAGACGGGUAUACAAGUAGGUUUUAUACAAAUCUUCAUCCCUUUCUUGUGUAUUUAUUUAAGAUGAUAAUUAGUUAAGACACUCUGUCAUUGCUAAAGAACGGAGAGUCAACACAUAUCACUCUCUCUCUCUCUGACUGAUUAGCUGAUGAGCUUCCUCAGAGUACUGGAACUGAUCAUAUAGUUUAAGUUUAGAAGGAAUUAAUGUUCCUUGGCGCGAGCAUCGGAAUAAUCUUAGGGAUCGGUUAGUAGAUGACACGCAGAGAUGAGAAAGACUACGUAGUUUCUCGGUUUCUGUUGUGUCUGUGAUUCAAAGACAAACUCCACCGCAAUCUUUGCCGACCUGCAAGAUUUUGAUCCCCCAAUCAUGCAUGGUUCUGUAGUAUCAAAAACAUUUACCCGAUUCUUAAUUCGAUUUUAAUUUUGUAGAUUAUGUCUGCCUUGAUUCAUGAAUUACUUUACUAUCAAUUAGGGUGCACAUAGUCUCCUAUCCUUCAGUAGUUCAGUAUUAUAACCUCUGAAGGAUUGCAGCCAUGUGCUCGGCUCACAGAGCUCAGGAUUUUAUAUGGCCAUGUCCCAAGUCUAUAUAUAAGGUAAUAACAACUUGAUAUUUUUCAUAUAUAGUUUUCUGUGUUAAUUUACAUAUAGGAGAUCGAUCGAGUUGAUCAACAAUUGGUAAUGAUAUAUUCGUACAAACUGUUGAGAUAUAUAUCCCACAUCGGGAAUAAUGGGACCUUGCCUAUGGUUUAUAAGGAUUUGGGUCACUCCAUUUAUUGCCAAUUGGUUUUAGAUGUGAACCCCAGACUACUUUAUCAUGAUAUCAGAGCGGGUUACCCACGUCCAUGUGUGAAGCCUAAAGGCCACACGAACUCCACGUCACCCCAAAUGUUGUCCACGUGUUAGGCUUGAAGAUUCGCCACACGUGCGGGGACGUGUUGAGAUAUAUAUAUCCCACAUCGGGAAUAAUGGGACCUUGCCUGUGGUUUAUAAGGGUUUGGGUCACUCCAUCUAUUGCCAAUUGGUUUUGGAUGUGAACCCCAGACUACUUUAUCACAAACGAGCACUACAUCAUCACAGCAAUUUUCUCAGAAAUAUAGGUCGCAUAUAUUACAUUAUCAAGAGCAUUAUAGAGAAGAUGAGAGAACAUGUCAGUUUUUCUUCAUUCUUUCAAUCUCCUAAUUUUGUAAUGAUAAUUUGCAGGCGGUGCAUGCAAUUGAACGGAUCAGUUCUAUAAGCUAGUAAUGGAAGUUUGAACAUUCAAAGUUUGAAGGAAAGAGCCAUGAAAGUACCAUCGGAGUGGUUCAUUCAAAUGAUUCACUGUAAUGAGACUCCAGUUGGGAUUAUUAAGACGGUACAUACUCGUGAUUCAAUGUAUCCCUGGCAAAAUGAUACUGAUGUAUUAUCAUGUUCCUUAUUAGUCUAGUUAAGAUGGUUAAUCUCACUUUGCCGCUUAUUACCAUUUAUAGAAUUUGGACAAGAUGCGCUACCUGAUCUCUACAAGGUGAAGAUAAGGAGUGAUCAAGUGCGAUUGGACCCAUGAUUAGAUGUAUAAAAUUAGUUGUGGACAUCGUUAACAAAAGACUGCGGGAGGAUAAUAAAGGUUACGUACUCACAUCCGUGAUCGAUCGGCUUUUCCAUUGAUCGACAAGACCUUUAAUAUACACCGGUACAUAAUUUAACACCAUGUUUUAUAAUUGUCAGAUAUGCUUCUUCUACCACUGUUGCUAAAUAUAUCAUGAACUUGUGUAUGAUGAAAUUAAAAAUUGACAUCGUGCUUAACAAGAGUUGUGUAUUUUAGCCCUAAAAGAUUAACUUCAAAAGAAUUAGUAAAUGUGGUGAUAUUUUCGUGUUUAAUUAUAUUCCCCCCUAAUUAUUGUGUAUCAAACAAGAUGCAUACAAGAUAAUUUUUCAACAUCGGCGACCCGCGACCAGUUUCAUCGAUCUUUCAUCUAGCUAGCUAGGAUGAGAAAAUCAUAAUUCCAAACCAAAAUACUACUACUAUUGUUAUCACAAUAAGAAACGAAUUAACUAUACGAUCCGUAUAUAUAAUUGCGAUGAGCUGCUAAUCUAAUUCUUUGCAUGGACCGACAAGUGAUUGUAAUGCUGCCAUUACUGGAUGCGACAACCCUCCGAUUCCCCACUGAUCUUUGCAGCUAAACUGUCUCUCGCUCAUUCUAAUUCUCUUUCUUUACCUCUCUCUACCCUCACUCACAGAGACACUGACAUCUCUAGCUUGUUGCAGCAACUGUGCUCGUAUACUUUGAGACCCGGCCUCUUCGUAUAUAUAAUUCCAGACAAACCCUCUCCCCCCAAACUAUACUACUUCACAUUUCUGGUUACAGCAACUGUGAUCAUAUAUACUUUGAUAUACACCUCUCUCUCUCUCUCUCUCUCUCCAUGGAUUUCCAUCCCCUAAAUACUAGUCUUAAUCUAAGCUUACCCAACAACCAUCAUCAUCAGC
This 3270-nucleotide long non-coding RNA is filed under the name Fragaria vesca (wild strawberry). RNAcentral describes it as "long non-coding RNA (FVES_LNC005566)". The record is from RNAcentral. Lineage: Eukaryota; Viridiplantae; Streptophyta; Magnoliopsida; Rosales; Rosaceae.